This is an RNA transcript of Populus trichocarpa (black cottonwood), 2198 nucleotides long. It is a transcript of the gene named probable WRKY transcription factor 20, with no coding region annotated. The transcript is spliced from 7 exons. The record is from RefSeq and is a predicted model, not a curated record. NCBI's taxonomy places the organism in Eukaryota, Viridiplantae, Streptophyta, Magnoliopsida, Malpighiales, Salicaceae.
UUCACCCAGACGGCCACACUCACUCACUCACUCACUCACAAUGGACAACAAUACCUCUCGCUCUGAGGUUUCCGACUGCGGCGAUCCAACGAGGCCGGAGUCCGGCGGCGGCGGUGCUAGGUACAAGCUGAUGUCGCCGGCCAAGCUUCCGAUCUCGAGGUCGGCUUGCAUCACGAUCCCUCCUGGACUCAGUCCGACCUCGUUUCUUGAGUCUCCAGUUCUUCUCUCUAAUGUUAAGGCAGAGCCUUCCCCCACUACUGGUACGUUUACUAAGCCUCGAACAGCUCUUGGCUCUCUUAGCUCCACUCCAUAUUCUGCUACAACUGUUUCAUCCACAGCGUGCGGAGAAAGAAAAUCCGACUACUUUGAGUUUAGACCAUAUGCUAGGUCAAACAUGGUUUCUGCAGAUAUAAACCAUCAGAGGAGCACACAAUGUGCUCAAGUCCAAAGCCAGUGCCAUUCACAAUCAUUUGCCUCACCACCUUUGGUAAAAGGUGAGAUGGAAGUAUCCACAAAUGAGUUGAGUCUGUCAGCAUCCCUUCACAUGGUUACUUCAGUUGCUAGUGCACCUGCUGAAGUUGAUUCAGAUGAACUAAACCAAACGGGGCUCUCUAGCAGUGGGCUUCAGGCAUCACAGUCUGAUCAUAGAGCAGGAACUGCGCCUUCAAUGUCAUCUGAUGAUGGAUAUAACUGGAGAAAAUAUGGACAGAAACAUGUUAAGGGAAGUGAGUUCCCUCGAAGCUAUUACAAAUGUACACAUCCUAACUGUGAAGUGAAAAAGUUAUUUGAGCGCUCCCAUGAUGGACAAAUAACAGAGAUUAUCUACAAGGGUACACAUGAUCAUCCUAAACCACAACCCAGCCGCCGAUAUGCCUCUGGUUCUGUUUUGUCCAUGCAGGAAGAUAGAUUUGACAAGUCUUCAUCUCUGCCUAACCAAGGUGACAAGUCACCUGGUGCUUAUGGACAGGUGCCUCAUGCUAUCGAGCCAAAUGGUGCCCUUGAACUGUCUACUGGAGCAAAUGAUGAUACUGGAGAAGGUGCCGAAGACGAUGAUGAUCCCUUCUCAAAAAGAAGGAGGUUGGAUGCUGGAGGUUUUGAUGUUACUCCAGUGGUCAAACCUAUCCGGGAACCACGUGUUGUCGUGCAAACUCUGAGUGAGGUUGAUAUACUGGAUGAUGGGUACAGGUGGCGCAAAUAUGGCCAGAAAGUGGUGAGAGGAAAUCCUAAUCCAAGGAGUUACUACAAAUGCACAAAUGCUGGAUGCCCAGUUAGAAAGCACGUUGAGAGGGCAUCGCAUGAUCCAAAAGCAGUUAUAACCACAUAUGAGGGGAAACACAAUCAUGAUGUACCUACAGCUAGGACAAACAGUCAUGACAUGGCGGGACCAUCAGCUGUGAAUGGACCCUCAAGGAUUAGACCAGAUGAAAACGAGACAAUUAGCCUUGAUCUUGGGGUCGGGAUCAGUUCUACAACUGAAAACCAGUCCAGCGAUCAGCAACAAGCUUUGCAUGCUGAACUUAUCAAACACGAGAACCAAGCAAGUGGUUCUAGUUUCAGAGUAGUUCAUGCAACCCCAAUUACGGCUUACUAUGGUGUUUUAAAUGGUGGCAUGAAUCAGUAUGGAUCUAGGCAAAUUCCAGGUGAAAGCCGUAGCAUUGAAAUUCCACCUUAUCCAUAUCCGCAGAACAUGGGAAGAUUAUUAACGGGUCCAUAAGUUUGUCUGAGUUUUAAAUUUGUUUCCCGCAUCCUUGCCUUACAGCUGGUAAAUGGCAAAAGGACAAAAUGACCUAGAUCAUUCUCUCACCGGAGUUUAUCUAAGAGCGGCUUGUCUUUUGGUGCCUUGCCCCUGUAGCAUAAAGCAAUCUGGUAAGCAGACCUCUAUGGAAUAAACCUGUUGCAAACGCUACUGGAAUGGUUCCACCUAAUAGGUAAUCCAGGGAAAUUUGAUAGUGCAGAUGUUAAUGCAUGUUUAACAGAGUGUAUUAGAGAGAAUGUAAUGUAUGAAAUAUGUCUUCCUCCAUGUAUUAUCUAGAUAUAAUUAUAAGGAAUCUUAUUAAAUAAGUAAAAUACAUAAUACAAUUAAAAUAAACUUAUAACAUAAAGUGUCAACCCAGUUCUAGGUCCCCUAAAAUUCUUUUAUGUAAAAAAUAUUUUCCUUUAUUUUAAAAUAUUAAAAAAAACUCCAAAAACAUAAAAAA